RNAcentral lists this ribosomal RNA (253 nucleotides) under uncultured bacterium. RNAcentral's name for it is "partial 16S ribosomal RNA". It matches the Rfam family "Bacterial small subunit ribosomal RNA", at positions 524 to 776 of the family's 1533-position model. The record is from RNAcentral.
UACGUAGGGUGCAAGCGUUAAUCGGAAUUACUGGGCGUAAAGCGUGCGCAGGCGGUCGUUCAAGUCGCGUGUGAAAGCCCCCGGCUCAACUGGGGAGGGUCACGCGAUACUGAUCGACUCGAAGGCAGGAGAGGGUAGUGGAAUUCCCGGUGUAGUGGUGAAAUGCGUAGAUAUCGGGAGGAACACCAGUGGCGAAGGCGACUACCUGGCCUGUUCUUGACGCUGAGGCGCGAAAGCUAGGGGAGCAAACGGG